GCUGCCAAUUCCCCAAGCAAAGGGAAGCGAGGGGAGAGCGCGGAGCCCCCGAUUAGCGUUCGGAGGAACUGGCCUAGAGGGGCCACUCGGAGCGCAAAGGCCCCGCGAAAUAGAAUAUCUAUACGCCCAGCAACCCUCCCUUUCGAGGCGCACGGAAUAAGUUGGCUGGAACUCUCCGCUGACCGCUCCGCCUGGGACUCAGGGUUGCAGCCGCACAGAGCUUCCUCCGGGGCGCCCAGGGCGGCGCGAGCAGGAGGGGGACCCAGUGUGGCCGCGCCCGGGAACUCGGGGGACCAGGUGAGGCUGCGCCCGGGUCCCAGUGGGAUCCAGAUGAGCGUACGCCCAAGCCCGCGGGGGACCAGGUGAGCCCGCGCCCGGGUCUGAGUGGGAUCCAGGUGAGCCAGCGUCCAGCGUCUCCAGGGUCUGGGGCAGGGUCGUCGGGCUUAGGACUCAAGCAGUCAGCGGGCAGAAUGGGUUGGCGUGGAGAGCCAGACGCGCUCAGGAUCCAGGCGAUGGGCCUGGGCAUAGCCGUGUCUGCAAGGGCUGUCGUCAGGGGAUCGUCGAGAGGACCUGCUUCUACCUAGUGGAUUCACAGUACUACCCAUAAAAAUAAACCCUGCUAAUGAGACGGUGUGUGGGAAGGGGGUGGGAGCAUGGUCAUUUUAUUAGAGCUGAGCAUUAAUAAUUUCCUUGAGGACCUUGGGCAAACUCUUUGUUUUGAAGCCAGUGGAGGCCUGGGUCAGUGUCCCUGAGUUCUGAGUUAACUGCGUGGACAAAUGAUGAGAAACAGCCAUCACUUUAGGGAUGUUUUAAGAGAAAGUCGGUGUGUGCUGAAACAGUGAGUUAGAGAGACUGGGAACAGAAAGCAAAGACCAGAAAGACAAGAAGCAAACAUAUGGGAAGUCAAAAAAGGAAAUUGCCUGGAAAUAAAGCCAGAUGGGUCUGGCAGGAGUGCUGUCUUGGUUGACAUCUGUGGGACAUGACCCUGGACAGAUCACUGGAGUCAGAGGAGGUCAUUAAUUAAGAAUCCGCUGGUUAUCCUUGGUGUUUUAAGGUUACCACGGUAGAAAUAGAAACGUGUGCAGCACAUAGUCAACAAGUUUUGGCAAAUGACCAAAUAAGAUACAAACAUUUAAUUGGAUUAGGAGAUCAGUUGCAAAGUGUUGUGUUUCUAUGCCAUGAUGAACAUUCAGAGUGGAAUCUCUAGAAAAAUGCUUUGUGUAAAUGAUUAGACUGUAGGGCUAAGGUGUUGCAAAACAGUACAGUAAGUUAUUUACUCUUUUUUUUUUUUGAGACGGAGCCUCACUCUGUUGCCCA
RNAcentral lists this long non-coding RNA (1317 nucleotides) under Homo sapiens (human). RNAcentral's name for it is "non-protein coding lnc-RPRD1A-5:3". The record is from RNAcentral. Lineage: Eukaryota; Metazoa; Chordata; Mammalia; Primates; Hominidae.